CUUCAUUAUUACCAAAACAAGAGGCAUUCUAGGUGAGCCAUGACUCCACAGACAGACCUGUCUGGGAUGUGCCUCCCUGAGAAGAGCUCAGCACAAUAUCUGUCUUCCAGAGAGGCUUGUGUGUCUGGUGCAGACAGGACAGACUUGAGGAGCCCCAUCUGCUGCAGUGAGUCAUCGCUUUGCGCCUCCCAGCAGGAUCCACACCUGUUAGCAGGGCGAGAAGAGCGAGCUGCCAGCCUGUUACGCGGCAAUGCUCUCUGUGCACGUUGUAGGGCCAAAUCACAAACAUGAGGCUGCAAUAAAACGCAACAUCUCCGUAAAUCUGUCACCCGCCGGACACGGCUGGAAAUGCCUGGGUCUCACCCUCCUGUGCAAAACUCCCAGCUCAGUGUUAUCAGCAAACUCAGAAAGCCAACAUUUACAAAACCAGCAAGUAUCAGCAGAGUCAGCUAUUGGAAGUACAUGCAGGCAAUUUCAUUCAAAGAACAAUGAGGAAUUCCCUGGUAAAGACCAAACAAAGAAAAUAAAGGAAAAACGGUUCAUCUGAAGAAGAGCUCUCUGACACAUCAGUUAGGAUGGGACACAAGAACGAGCUGGUUUCUCUUACAAAGUUCAACCUGGAUGAUCAAAAAUAGUCAGUGGCCUUUAAAAUCCACAGGAAAAAGGUUUUCUUAUUGAUUUUAUAAUAAUGAUGGACAUAGAUGGGGUGGGCCUAGAAAAACAGAAGCUAAAGCUAUCUAGAAGAAAAAAAAAAUAAUAACAGAGAACAGUAAAUAUAAGAAAUAUAUUUACUGUAAAAAUAAGUAAAAAUAAGAAUUGUUUCCUCAGAUUUUUUUCUGUUCGUGGUACUUGUUUAUUGUCUGUAAUAUUGAAAGAAUGUUCUUGCUCCUUUCCAUUUAUAAUUUACUUUGUGACCAUAUAUUUAUAAUAUUUCAAGCACUUACAUUCUAUUCACACUGUAUUGCUAUUUUAAUGCAAAUGAUUACCAAAUAAUGACUUUCUAUUUAAGAAAUAAUCUCCAUUGUUGCAUGGUCUGCAUCUGAUAACUGAAUGUGACUAAAACUGUGCAUCAAAAGCAGAAGGUGCAGAUGUGUAAGAGGGAUCAAAAUCAAUUACUGGGCUACCUUGCCCACAAAAAAGUGAACUAUUGCCACUGGCAUAUUUUUUAAAAAAAUAUAUAAUUAAUAAUGUCUUUAACAUUAAAAUAAAAAGGAUACCAUUAAUUCA
RNAcentral lists this long non-coding RNA (1227 nucleotides) under Junco hyemalis (dark-eyed junco). RNAcentral's name for it is "lncRNA (ENSJHYG00000017958.1)". The record is from RNAcentral. Lineage: Eukaryota; Metazoa; Chordata; Aves; Passeriformes; Passerellidae.